This 263-nucleotide ribosomal RNA is filed under the name uncultured bacterium. RNAcentral describes it as "partial 16S ribosomal RNA". It matches the Rfam family "Bacterial small subunit ribosomal RNA", at positions 793 to 1055 of the family's 1533-position model. The record is from RNAcentral.
GUCCAUGCCGUAAACGAUGAUUACUAGGUGUUGGGGGAUUGACCCCCUCAGUGCCGCAGUUAACACAAUAAGUAAUCCACCUGGGGAGUACGACCGCAAGGUUGAAACUCAAAGGAAUUGACGGGGGCCCGCACAAGCAGUGGAGUAUGUGGUUUUAAUUCGAAGCAACGCGAAGAACCUUACCAGGUCUUGACAUCCGAUGCAUAACACAGAGAUGUGUGAAAUCCUUCGGGACAUCGAGACAGGUGGUGCAUGGUUGUCGU